UACGUAGGGCGCAAGCGUUGUCCGGAAUUAUUGGGCGUAAAGAGCUCGUAGGCGGCCUGUUACGUCUGCUGUGAAAUCCCGGGGCUUAACCCCGGGCGUGCAGUGGAUACGGGCAGGCUGGAGGCAGGCAGGGGAGAACGGAAUUCCCGGUGUAGCGGUGAAAUGCGCAGAUAUCGGGAGGAACACCGGUGGCGAAGGCGGUUCUCUGGGCCUGUACUGACGCUGAGGCACGAAAGCGUGGGGAGCAAACAGG
RNAcentral lists this ribosomal RNA (253 nucleotides) under uncultured bacterium. RNAcentral describes it as "partial 16S ribosomal RNA". It matches the Rfam family "Bacterial small subunit ribosomal RNA", at positions 524 to 776 of the family's 1533-position model. The record is from RNAcentral.